UGCCGAUCAUAUUCCUGGGACUCCCAGGAAAUCCAGGGGCUCGUCUCCGCCACGUGCCAAGCAGAAACAACUGCUGCACAUAAUUAAAAGAGUGUAAAAGUGAGGCAGCUGCUGUCAAAUGUGCCGCGCGUAGAAUUAGCUUCCCACUUUCCAUUAAUGGAAGCGGGGACGGGCCGGGCCCUGUCCUUGCGGUCGUGCGUCUGGGCAUCUGGGCCUCGGACGGGUGCCAGCGAGGGCGAGCGAGCGAGAGAGAGAGGAGCAGACAAAGACACGCUCCACAGAAGGGUGAGGUUGACUCCGGGUCACAGAGGCGGCCUGGCCUUAUGGCUGACAGAUGUUAGUCUGGUUCAACAAGAGUUGGGAUGCUGGAAAAAGUUACACCACACUCGGUUCCACAUUGCAAUUAUCUUCUCUGUGUAAAGAAACAUCUCGUAUAUCACCGCUCAACAAGACAUAAGCAAAAGCCACUCCCUGGAUCAGGAGGCCUUUGAUAAACCAUGGCACUUCAACGCGCUGCCUAAUUGUAUGGCACUAAAAUGUUUCGCUGUUGCAGCUAGUGGGCCUGUUAGCAGCAUUCCCAAGCGGCACCACAGUGUAUUUUUUUUACUGUGGAGAGCUCAUCAGCCGGCAGUGAUUGUGCUAAUGCUGCUAAUGAUCCCCAGGAGACAUCAACGCAGACCGGAACCGAGCCUGUUCAUUUACAGGAAGGUUCAGUGCAAGUGUCUGGAGGGAGUCAAGGAUGAGACCUGUCUCCAGACGCUCCCCUGUCGCCCCAUGGGAGGGGUCACGCUGUGCACAGGGUGAUGACUCCGAGGUGAUGCAUUCCCCAUAAACUGCACGUGGACGGGGACAGCAGCAGUGCUGUGGGAGAGAACCGCUUUCUAGCGGUUCCUUUCUUCAGACGGGACCGAGGGGAAAUGAAAUGACAGUGGAUCAUUAGACCGGCGUUGCCUGCAGCUCGCUAAUUUAUGCAAAUUAAUUUUCUCGGCUGCUGCAAGAGGAGCGGGAGCGGGCGCCACCGCCGGCCGGCCGGCCCUCAGCAUCCAGCGGCGAAACGGUUAAACGGCUGCACUCCGCUUUU
RNAcentral lists this long non-coding RNA (1081 nucleotides) under Betta splendens (Siamese fighting fish). RNAcentral's name for it is "lncRNA (ENSBSLG00000015465.1)". Lineage: Eukaryota; Metazoa; Chordata; Actinopteri; Anabantiformes; Osphronemidae. The record is from RNAcentral.